RNAcentral lists this transfer RNA (72 nucleotides) under Phrynosoma platyrhinos (Desert horned lizard). RNAcentral's name for it is "tRNA-OTHER". Lineage: Eukaryota; Metazoa; Chordata; Lepidosauria; Squamata; Phrynosomatidae. The record is from RNAcentral.
GCCAGCAUGGCAUAGUGGUUUGAGUGUUGGACUGCAACGCUGGAGGUCAGGGUUCAAUUCCCAGCUCUGAGG